RNAcentral lists this microRNA precursor (123 nucleotides) under Prunus dulcis (almond). RNAcentral describes it as "sRNA ncRNA". The record is from RNAcentral. Lineage: Eukaryota; Viridiplantae; Streptophyta; Magnoliopsida; Rosales; Rosaceae.
UCACCCGUAUUUUUCUAGACGUGCAUCCAAAUAGUUUAUGCAUGAUAAAGAAAAAAGUAAAAUGUUGAGACGCGCGUCUAGAAAAAGAAACUGUUGAGAUGCACGUCUAGAAAAAUAUGGGUG